AGCGAACGCUGGCGGCAGGCCUAACACAUGCAGGUCGAACGGCUCUUCGGAGCAGUGGCGGACGGGUGAGUAACGCGUGGGAACGUGCCCUUUGGUACGGAACAACUGAGGGAAACUUCAGCUAAUACCGUAUGUGCCCCUNUUCUUAGCGGAAGGGGUGGGAAAGAUUUAUCGCCAUUGGAGCGGCCCGCGUUGGAUUAGGGUAGUUGGCGGGGUAAAGCCUACCAAGCCUACGAUCCAUAGCUGGCUGAGAGGAUGAUCAGCCACACUGGGACUGAGACACGGCCAGACUCCUACGGGAGGCAG
RNAcentral lists this ribosomal RNA (306 nucleotides) under uncultured bacterium. RNAcentral describes it as "bacterial SSU rRNA". It matches the Rfam family "Bacterial small subunit ribosomal RNA", at positions 29 to 351 of the family's 1533-position model. The record is from RNAcentral.